Molecule: ribosomal RNA, 1376 nt
Filed under: metagenome
Description: bacterial LSU rRNA
Rfam family: Bacterial large subunit ribosomal RNA
Source: RNAcentral
UAGGGGUGAUAACGAGGCUGCUUGCAGCCGAAGUGAGUGAUACCCUGCUUCCAGGAAAAGCCACUAAGCUUCAGCUAUACACGACCGUACCGCAAACCGACACUGGUGCGCGAGAUGAGUAUUCUAAGGCGCUUGAGAGAACUCAGGAGAAGGAACUCGGCAAAUUGACACCGUAACUUCGGAAGAAGGUGUGCCUUUAGUAGGUGAAGGGAUUUACUCCUGGAGCCCAAUGAGGUUGCAAAAAAUCGGUGGCUGCGACUGUUUAUUAAAAACACAGCACUCUGCAAACACGAAAGUGGACGUAUAGGGUGUGACGCCUGCCCGGUGCUGGAAGAUUAAAUGAUGGGGUGCAAGCUCUUGAUUGAAGUCCCAGUAAACGGCGGCCGUAACAAUAACGGUCCUAAGGUAGCGAAAUUCCUUGUCGGGUAAGUUCCGACCUGCACGAAUGGCGUAACGAUGGCCACACUGUCUCCUCCUGAGACUCAGCGAAGUUGAAAUGUUUGUGAUGAUGCAAUCUCCCCGCGGAAAGACGGAAAGACCCCAUGAACCUUUACUGUAGCUUUGUAUUGGACUUUGAACAGAUCUGUGUAGGAUAGGUGGGAGGCUUUGAAGCAGGGUCGCUAGAUCUUGUGGAGCCAACGUUGAAAUACCACCCUGGUGUGUUUGAGGUUCUAACCUAGGUCCAUUAUCUGGAUCGGGGACAGUGCAUGGUAGGCAGUUUGACUGGGGCGGUCUCCUCCCAAAGCGUAACGGAGGAGUUCGAAGGUACGCUAGUUACGGUCGGACAUCGUGACGAUACUGCAAUGGCAUAAGCGUGCUUAACUGCGAGACUGACAAGUCGAGCAGAUGCGAAAGCAGGACAUAGUGAUCCGGUGGUUCUGUAUGGAAGGGCCAUCGCUCAACGGAUAAAAGGUACUCUGGGAUAACAGGCUGAUACCGCCCAAGAGUUCAUAUCGACGGCGGUGUUUGGCACCUCGAUGUCGGCUCAUCUCAUCCUGGGGCUGUAGCCGGUCCCAAGGGUAUGGCUGUUCGCCAUUUAAAGAGGUACGUGAGCUGGGUUUAAAACGUCGUGAGACAGUUUGGUCCCUAUCUUCCGUGGGCGCUGCAGAUUUGAGGAAGCCUGCUCCUAGUACGAGAGGACCGGAGUGGACACACCUCUGGUGUAUCGGUUGUCACGCCAGUGGCAUUGCCGAGUAGCUAAGUGUGGAAGAGAUAACCGCUGAAAGCAUCUAAGCGGGAAACUCGUUUCAAGAUGAGAUCUGCCGGGGCCUUGAGCCCCCUAAAGAGUCGUUCAAGACCAGGACGUUGAUAGGCAGGGUGUGGAAGCGCAGUAAUGCGUUAAGCUAACCUGUACUAAUUGCUCGUGCGGCUUGAUC